RNAcentral lists this non-coding RNA (966 nucleotides) under Platalea leucorodia (Eurasian spoonbill). RNAcentral's name for it is "12S ribosomal RNA". It matches the Rfam family "Bacterial small subunit ribosomal RNA". The record is from RNAcentral. Lineage: Eukaryota; Metazoa; Chordata; Aves; Pelecaniformes; Threskiornithidae.
AAAGACUUAGUCCUAACCUUACCGUUAAUUCUUGCUAGACAUAUACAUGCAAGUAUCUGCACUCCAGUGUGAAUGCCCUCCACGCCCUACUAGGGUAUGAGGAGCGGGUAUCAGGCACACCCAUUAGACUGUAGCCCAAGACGCCUUGCUUAGCCACACCCCCACGGGUACUCAGCAGUAAUUAACAUUAAGCAAUAAGUGUAAACUUGACUUAGUUAUAGCAACACUAAGGGUCGGUAAAUCUUGUGCCAGCCACCGCGGUCACACAAGAGACCCAAAUUAACAGUAACGCGGCGUAAAGAGUGGCACCACGUUAUCCUAGCAACUAAGAUCGAAAUGCAGCUGAGCUGUCAUAAGCCUAGGAUGCACUUAAGACCGCCCUUAAGACGAUCUUAGCCCUCAGGACCAAUUGAACUCCACGAAAGCUAGGGUACAAACUGGGAUUAGAUACCCCACUAUGCCUAGCCCUAAAUCUUGAUACUUUUUUCACUAAAGUAUCCGCCUGAGAACUACGAGCACAAACGCUUAAAACUCUAAGGACUUGGCGGUGCCUUAAACCCACCUAGAGGAGCCUGUUCUAUAACCGAUAACCCACGAUACACCCAACCACCUCUUGCCAAAGCAGCCUACAUACCGCCGUCGCCAGUCCACCUUCCUUGAGAGUAUAACAGUGGACAUAAUAGCCUCAACCUCGCUAACAAGACAGGUCAAGGUAUAGCUUAUGGGGUGGAAGAAAUGGGCUACAUUUUCUAGCAUAGAAAACUUUCACGGAAGUGGGUGUGAAAUCGCCUACAGAAGGCGGAUUUAGCAGUAAAGAGAGAUAAUAGAGCUCUCUUUAAGUCGGCUCUGGGGCACGUACAUACCGCCCGUCACCCUCCUCACAAGCUACAAACCUUUAUAACUAAUACCCAAAUUAGCUGAAGAUGAGGUAAGUCGUAACAAGGUAAGUGUACCGGAAGGUGCACU